RNAcentral lists this ribosomal RNA (464 nucleotides) under uncultured bacterium. RNAcentral describes it as "bacterial SSU rRNA". It matches the Rfam family "Bacterial small subunit ribosomal RNA", at positions 338 to 795 of the family's 1533-position model. The record is from RNAcentral.
CCUACGGGCUGCACCAGUGGGCAAUAUUGCACAAUGGGCGCAAGCCUGAUGCAGCCAUGCCGCGUGUAUGAAGAAGGCCUUCGGGUUGUAAGUACUUUCAGCGGGGAGGAAGGUGUUGUGGUUAAUAACCGCAGCAAUUGACGUUACCCGCAAAAGAAGCACCGGCUAACUCCGUGCCAGCAGCCGCGGUAAUACGGAGGGUGCAAGCGCUAAUCGGAACUACUGGGCGUAAAGCGCACGCAGGCGGUCUGUCAAGUCGGAUGUGAAAUCCCCGGGCUCAACCUGGGAACUGCAUUCGAAACUGGCAGGCUAGAGUCUCGUAGAGGGGGGUAGAAUUCCAGGUGUAGCGGUGAAAUGCGUAGAGAUCUGGAGGAAUACCGGUGGCGAAGGCGGCCCCCUGGACAAAGACUGACGCUCAGGUGCGAAAGCGUGGGGAGCAAACAGGAUUAGAUACCCCUGUAGUC